RNAcentral lists this long non-coding RNA (1216 nucleotides) under Homo sapiens (human). RNAcentral's name for it is "non-protein coding lnc-PFKP-16:19". The record is from RNAcentral. Lineage: Eukaryota; Metazoa; Chordata; Mammalia; Primates; Hominidae.
AGAGAAGAAGACAUUCAGGGAGACACCAAGCCAGGGAGGUGACAAGUAUGUGGUAAAAUCCGAGCACGCAGAAUUUGGGGGAACAGGACUCUAGACUGCCUCUAGAGAGAGCUGUAUUGAAGGCCCUGCGACCCAGCACAGAGAAGGGAAUGGUGCUCUAGGUCCCUGCCUCUGCAGAAGACAAAUCCAGGAAGAGAACCAGGAAACUGCAGAGUAGCCAGCCACAUGCGAGAAAAAUCUGAAGGAGACGAAAAUGUUUCAGGAGAAAGAGGUAUAAUUUGCAGUGAAGUGCACAAAUCAGUGAAAUUUUACGUAUGCAACCUUUAUCACUCACCACCCAAACCAGAGUGGUGUCUUCCCAACACCCCAGGGCCUCUAGUCCUUUUCCAGCGUUGCCUGAAGACACAAACUACUGAUGGCUGCAUCCACAUGACUGACUUCAAACACAGCACGCUGCAGGAGAAAAGCCGGAUACGCGCGUGGAAAGUGGGUGGCUCCACCACCCUGCUGUUCAGGUUUUCUUUCUGAAAGUUCUUUUGGCUUUAUUAUGGAAUAGAGGUUACAGAAAGGCAAAAGCUUUGGCCGUAGCGGGUGGGAAGAUCUUCCUUACCCUGGAGGAGGAAGUAGGGUCUCCGUAAUGUAUGUGUGGUACUCAGGGCUCCCGGCAGCCCGAAGCCAGAGUGUGUCCUCACCCUGCCCCGGGUCAGCCCUGUGACCUGGAGGGAGCAACUGAAAAGCUCUGGGCCUCGGAUUCCUCAUCUGUGAAAUGGGGAUGCUAACAGUGCUACCUCCUCUGGUUGGUUUGUGGCAGAGGACACAUGAGGCAACCUGUGUAAAAUGCUUGGAGGGUGGCCAGUGUGGUUACCAUGGAGAUUGACUGGUACCGUCUUCCACAUCCUGUGUUGACUAAGCGCGCACACCAGAAUACAGUUCCAAACGAUUAUCAAACAUGAAUACAAUUCAGAAAAUAAACAUGCAGCAAAACUUGCCAUAAAGAUUGCAUGAAACUAUCACUUUAAGAAAAAUACAUUAAAAAUUACCUUAAAUACCGAAAAGUACUUUUGUAAGUAAGGAUCAGUCCAAUAAAUUUAACCUGUAUUUGAAUCAGUGUAAAACAACUUGGUUUAUAAUUUUGUCUUCAUCGAGUGGGGGUGACUUUUGUAGCUUCUGUCACUGCUGCCUGGAGUAUAGAAUUAAACACCUUUUUGCAGAAAAA